Molecule: ribosomal RNA, 610 nt
Filed under: uncultured bacterium
Lineage: Bacteria
Description: bacterial SSU rRNA
Rfam family: Bacterial small subunit ribosomal RNA
Source: RNAcentral
CCUACGGGAGACAGCAGUGAGGAAUAUUGCGCAAUGGACGAAAGUCUGACGCAGCCAUGCCGCGUGCAGGAUGACGGCCCUAUGGGUUGUAAACUGCUUUUGUAUGGGAAUAAACCCUUCUACGUGUAGAAGGCUGAAGGUACCAUAAGAAUAAGCACCGGCUAACUCCGUGCCAGCAGCCGCGGUAAUACGGAGGGUGCAAGCGUUAUCCGGAUUUAUUGGGUUUAAAGGGUCCGUAGGCGGGCCGAUAAGUCAGUGGUGAAAGCCCAUAGCUCAACUAUGGAACUGCCAUUGAUACUGUCGGUCUUGAGUAUAUGUGAUGUUGGCGGAAUGUGUAGUGUAGCGGUGAAAUGCUUAGAUAUUACACAGAACACCGAUUGCGAAGGCAGCUGACAAAUAUAUAACUGACGCUGAGGGACGAAAGUGUGGGGAUCAAACAGGAUUAGAUACCCUGGUAGUCCACACCGUAAACGAUGAUUACUAGAUUUUGGCCUUAUGGUCAGAGUCCAAGCGAAAGUGUUAAGUAAUCCACCUGGGGAGUACGUCCGCAAGGAUGAAACUCAAAGGAAUUGACGGNGUGAGAGNGCGAGGACGACGACGAGGGAGGAGG